Molecule: unclassified non-coding RNA, 385 nt
Filed under: soil metagenome
Description: partial contains 5.8S ribosomal RNA, internal transcribed spacer 2, and large subunit ribosomal RNA
Rfam family: 5.8S ribosomal RNA (bases 1-120)
Source: RNAcentral
GAUGAAGAACGUAGCGAAAUGCGAUAAGUAAUGUGAAUUGCAGAAUUCAGUGAAUCAUCGAAUCUUUGAACGCACCUUGCGCUCCUUGGUAUUCCGAGGAGCAUGCCUGUUUGAGUGUCAUUAAAUUCUCAACCUCACCCGUUUUUUGAACGGUUCUCCGAGGCUUGGAUGUGGGGGUUUGUGCAGGCUGCCUCAGCGCGGUCUGCUCCCCUGAAAUGCAUUAGCGAGUUCGUACUGAGCUCCGUCUAUUGGUGUGAUAAUUAUCUACGCCGUGGACAGGGUUUAGACUCGCUUCUAACCGUCCGCAAGGACAAUACCUUUGACAAUUUGACCUCAAAUCAGGUAGGACUACCCGCUGAACUUAAGCAUAUCAAUAAGCGGAGGA